UGGAGACAGGUGCUGCAUGGCUGUCGUCAGCUCGUGUCGUGAGAUGUAGGGUUAAGUCCCGCAACGAGCGCAACCCUUGUCUUUAAUUGCCAUCAUUGAGUUGGGCACUUUAAAGAGACUGCCGGUGUUAAACCGGAGGAAGGUGGGGAUGACGUCAAGUCCUCAUGGCCCUUAUAGGUGGGGCUACACACGUCAUACAAUGGCUGGUACAAAGGGUUGCCAACCCGCGAGGGGGAGCCAAUCCCAUAAAGCCAGUCGUAGUCCGGAUCGUAGUCUGCAACUCGACUACGUGAAGUCGGAAUCGCUAGUAAUCGUGGAUCAGAAUGUCACGGUGAAUACGUUCCCGGGUCUU
Molecule: ribosomal RNA, 352 nt
Filed under: uncultured Comamonadaceae bacterium
Lineage: Bacteria; Pseudomonadati; Pseudomonadota; Betaproteobacteria; Burkholderiales; Comamonadaceae
Description: bacterial SSU rRNA
Rfam family: Bacterial small subunit ribosomal RNA
Source: RNAcentral